Lolium rigidum is the source of this 2370-nucleotide long non-coding RNA. RefSeq lists it as uncharacterized. The transcript has 3 exons. The record is from RefSeq and is a predicted model, not a curated record. NCBI's taxonomy places the organism in Eukaryota, Viridiplantae, Streptophyta, Magnoliopsida, Poales, Poaceae.
GAAGCGCGCCGCCCCGUCCAAGAUCCCGUUCGACCAUGUGCAUGGCGAGAUUCCCCGUCUCCCAUUCCAAGCAAAACUAUGUCUCCUCCCGCGCCGCUUGAUGUUCGUCGGCAAGAUCGAUGGGGGGCAUGCGGUCAAGAUCGAUGAGGGGCACGGGUCUGGUGCCAGCCGAUGGUGCCCGCCGAUCUUGGACGGCGGCGACCUGCGGCCGCUGACAAGAUUCACUGGGUUGUCCUCGACUCGCCCGUGCGGUGCUGACCAUGGAUGCCAAUGACCUGUUUGAUCGCAUCCGGCUACAAAGCAGCGGAGCCGUUGGUUGACGGCCUACAUUCUUCUUUUCUUUAUCUGCAAUAUUUGCGGAAAGGAUGAUAUGAAUGCUGAGUAAUUUAAAAUCGAGAUUCAGCUCGAGACUGUUAGGUAUGGCACUGUUUUAUCUCCGCAUGGUGCACCCUUCCUGUUGAGAGAAAUAUAACAAAUAUUGGCAGUAAAUAUGCAAUUCUCUUCAAGGCCGAGAGAGAAGGCAUGUCGAUUCAGAUUACUAUUGAUGAAUCAUGUAGUUGUACAGUUUUAUUUCUGUAAAUGCACAUGCCUUUAUAUGUGGUUCUGAAAUUAUUAUUUUGUUAUUUCUUACUAUGUCUGAAUUAGCAAAAUAAUUACUAAUUGGAUGAUGGAAGUGAUUUAUAUCACCCACCUCCCAAACUCUGUACCUAUCGACACUAUAUAAAAGAGACAGAGGUUUGUCUUCUCCAAACAUUGUUUUGUAGUUCGCCUAAAUAAGUGGUUUGAUUUAGAAGUGGACCGACCACUAAGUAUGGCACAGGUGAUUGUCAAUUUAUCAUGGAAGUUUUUUCUGAAUUAUAGUUAUUUUUGUUGACCAGUGGUUAUCUACCUGAAACAAUAUGCAUGGCCAUGUUGUUUCUACCAAAAUAAUUUUAACUUCCUGGUGUAAUAAUAUGGUCAUGCUGUUUUUCUUCUUUUCAAUUCUACAUGCAUGUUUCCUUCUGAAACAAUUACUCGAAGUGGUCACAGUUAAAAUUAUUGUGAUGCGGGACAUAUAUAUUUGGGCUCAUAUUAGAUAGGUAAUAGAAACUUAAACUUGACACAUGAAAAAGGUUUAUAUAAUCUUCCACACUGCUACUGUACAAAUUAUUUUUAUAUUUGGAGUCUAUCUACAUAUCAGUUAAUCAACUCUAGCAAAGGUAUGUUAAUUAUGGUCCGUUCAUUUGCCAUAACAUCUUAGAACUCCCACUAUAUUCCCAUGAAUUAAGAGGACCCAAACACAUAUGUGAUAAAAAAAUUGUGAGGGCACUAUUCAUGCAGAUAUAGCUUUCACCCAACAUAGUUCGUACCAGUAGCUGUAUGAUAGCCCUAGACUCUCUAGCAAUCUAUCUAGCCAUCCAUGUCUCACGAAAUAAUCCAUCCGAAUGGUUUCUAUUUCCUUCAGGAGUCCUGCAAUACUUGAAGCUAUAUUUUGUUGUAUAGUUAGUUCAUGUUACUAGGGAAAAUUAAGCAAGCUAUAUAUGUCCAAGAUACCUUAUCUUUGCAAAGUAUAUCACAGAUAAAUGAAGUCAAUAUCUUUUUUCUGAUACCUAUUACUGAUGUGUAAAUCUCAUGAACAUAUUAUUUCUUUGUUAGGUGACGAGUUUUUAAGGAAAUAGAUAACUCAUGUUAACCAGUGAUUAGAGUUGUUGAUGGCCUCAAGACAGAGGCGAGAUUAUCCGUCUGAGUGCUUUCUCUACCAAAUAAGCAGUGGGACUUUCCAUGUUUUGAGAUGUUCCACUCGCUUCAUGACUGUUAUUCUUGAGGACUUUUGAUGCUUUGAGAUCUUCCACUCUACACUUCUAGAAAUCUGAGGAUCCAGAAGCAUAUGAGUAUAAUUUUACGUUGUAUCUUGGCCUGACAUUUUGAGAACAGGCUAGACUAGAAAAUGUUCCCAUGACAGCCUGCAAGGUGCUAUCAAUCCACCUGCAAGAACUGAUUUACAUAGGAGGCAUAGAGAUCUCGCGGUGUGGACACCAGCCUGUGGUUCAGUCACACCAGCAGUUUCCCAGAUGGUGCACCUGACGAUAAAAGGAAUGCCAUGCACCCUCAACACUCUAGCAGUGGUUGAAUAUAUACUAAGCCCAUUUGGUUUGGAAAUGCACAUCUUUCCGAAAAAAUGACAGCUUCAAAAGUCUUGGAAAUAUACUGAUUUCAUAUGAAUGUUCAGCCUGGUGUGCAUCGAGUCACACAAUACUAGCAAUACUCCAAAUCAAUGUGAUUCCAAAACACCUCACAGAUUAUUUGACAAGUAUUUGUGCUAACACGCUGUUUUCUGGGGUUAGAAAUAUUUGUGGUUGCAUAUGUAAUAAUUGUUUCAGUUUAUUUUCU